CACAUAUUUACAAAGCACAUAUAUAUGAAAAACAUUAUGAACACGAGACAUACUUGGAGGUAACGCGAGUUUAUAGGCUACAUUUCCUACUCGAUCAAGAAUCUGAAAUGGACCAAUAAAUCGUGGAUUGAGCUUUCCUCUCUUCCCGAAUCUUGUAACUCCCUUCCAUGGGGCAACACGCAACAAUACAUGAUCCCCAAUACUAAACUCCAUGUCCUUUUGAUGAAGAUCCGCAUAACUCUUUUGUCG
This 249-nucleotide long non-coding RNA is filed under the name Panax ginseng (ginseng). RNAcentral describes it as "long non-coding RNA (PGIN_LNC002651)". The record is from RNAcentral. Lineage: Eukaryota; Viridiplantae; Streptophyta; Magnoliopsida; Apiales; Araliaceae.